UACGUAGGGGGCAAGCGUUGUCCGGAAUCAUUGGGCGUAAAGCGCGUGUAGGCGGUUCGGUAAGUCUGCUGUGAAAGUCCAGGGCUCAACCCUGGGAUGCCGGUGGAUACUGUCGGACUAGAGUACGGAAGAGGCGAGUGGAAUUCCCGGUGUAGCGGUGAAAUGCGCAGAUAUCGGGAGGAACACCGGUGGCGAAGGCGGAUCUCUGGGCCUUACCUGACGCUCAGGCGCGAAGGCGUGGGGAGCGAACGGG
RNAcentral lists this ribosomal RNA (253 nucleotides) under uncultured bacterium. RNAcentral describes it as "partial 16S ribosomal RNA". It matches the Rfam family "Bacterial small subunit ribosomal RNA", at positions 524 to 776 of the family's 1533-position model. The record is from RNAcentral.